RNAcentral lists this transfer-messenger RNA (364 nucleotides) under Planctomycetota. RNAcentral describes it as "BJHQ01 sp014193115 Standard tmRNA". It matches the Rfam family "transfer-messenger RNA". From Rfam's summary of the family: Bacterial tmRNA, also known as 10Sa RNA or SsrA, is named for its dual tRNA and mRNA-like properties. Its role is to liberate the mRNA from a stalled ribosome. To accomplish this part of the tmRNA is used as a reading frame that ends in a translation stop signal. The record is from RNAcentral. RNAcentral also lists the same sequence under 1 other name. Lineage: Bacteria; Pseudomonadati.
GGGGGCGAAUAGGCUUUCGACGGGUGAACACCGGCGACCAGCCGCGCGCCGUGGUGCGGGAGGCCACGUAAAAAAUCCGCAAAAAACACAAGUGCCGACGAUCACGUCGAGUACGCCCUCGCAGCCUGAUUUAACCAUCAGUAGGUGAGGCGGUGCAAAGGGCCGCCAAUGCCCCGAUGCACCUCUCAACGCAUUGGCUGGCUUGGGGAGCUGUCCGACUACCCCUGGCGAGACCCACCGGGCUGGUCUGUGGUGAAGGUUGGCGGCCGCCGCCAUCACGGAUGAGAUCAAACGACCGCCUACGCGCGUAGAAGCAUCGUACGAAUUUUCCCGGACCCGGGUUCGACUCCCGGCGCCUCCACCA